CAAACGGCCCUUUUCAGGGCCACCAAGUAUUUUUAACAAAGGAUCU
This is a non-coding RNA of Habropoda laboriosa, 46 nucleotides long. Lineage: Eukaryota; Metazoa; Arthropoda; Insecta; Hymenoptera; Apidae. The record is from Rfam.